UACGGGGGGGGCAAGCGUUGUUCGGAAUUACUGGGCGUAAAGGGCGCGUAGGCGGCCCGCUAAGUCGAACGUGAAAUCCCCAGGCUCAACCUGGGAACUGCGUCCGAUACUGGCAGGCUUGAAUCCGGGAGAGGGAUGUGGAAUUCCAGGUGUAGCGGUGAAAUGCGUAGAUAUUAGGAAGAACACCGGUGGCGAAGGCGGCCAACUGGAUCGGUACUGACGCUGAGGUGCGAAAGCGUGGGGAGCAAACAGG
Molecule: ribosomal RNA, 253 nt
Filed under: uncultured bacterium
Lineage: Bacteria
Description: partial 16S ribosomal RNA
Rfam family: Bacterial small subunit ribosomal RNA
Source: RNAcentral